GGUGAGAUGGCCGAGCUGGUUAUGGCGCUAGGGUACGCAUCAUGUGACUCUCUGCGGCGAAUGAUUAAACUAACAAGGAUAUAGUUAAGGCAUUCCUUAGCAUUAAUUCCUAGUCACGAAAGUGGCGUGGGUUCGAGUCCCACUCUCAUCA
Clohesyomyces aquaticus is the source of this 151-nucleotide transfer RNA. It matches the Rfam family "tRNA". Rfam says of the family: Transfer RNA (tRNA) molecules are approximately 80 nucleotides in length. The record is from Rfam. Lineage: Eukaryota; Fungi; Ascomycota; Dothideomycetes; Pleosporales; Lindgomycetaceae.